AGAAGAAAAGAAAGAGAUGAGGAGCAUAAAAGAGAGGAGCAGAGGAAAAGAGAACGAGAAGCGGAACCGCUACAGACAUGCAGGUGUUGUUCUUCUUUCCAAGCACCAAUCGUGCAUGCAUCUUUUACGUUAGGCCCUUUUACUUAUCACGCCGUUAUUUGAGAUUCAUGAAUGACGAACUAGCCUGAACUUUAGCCAUAAUAUAAAUUUUUUGUUUAAACAU
RNAcentral lists this long non-coding RNA (223 nucleotides) under Dermacentor andersoni. Its description in RNAcentral is "uncharacterized LOC126544543". Lineage: Eukaryota; Metazoa; Arthropoda; Arachnida; Ixodida; Ixodidae. The record is from RNAcentral.